GAGGAAAUUCUGCAAUGCUCGAAAGAGUGACAGAAUGAGUCAGAGUGUUUUCUUUUAGAAAACUUUUGUUAGUUGUAAAAAGACUAGCGAAUAAGGACUGGGCAAGACCGGUGCCAGCCGCCGCGGUAAUACCGGCGGUCCAAGUCGCAUCCACAUUUAUUUGGUCCAAAACAUUCGUAGCUUGUUUUGUAAGUCUCUUGUGAAAUCUGGCAUCUUAAGUGUCAGGCGUGCAAGAGAUACUACAUUGCUUGAGACCGGAAGACGCAAAGAGUAUGAAGGAGGUAGUGGUAAAAUAUGUUAAUCUCCUUCAGACUAACAAUAGCGAAGGCACUUUGCGAGUACGGAUCUGACAGUGAGGAAUGAAGGCUAGGGGCGCAAAAGGGAUUAGAUACCCCUGUAGUCCUAGCAGUAAACACUGCUCACUAAACAUUAGUGCCUCCUCGAGAGGCAUUAGUGCUGUAGAGAAGUCGAAGAGUGAGCUACCUGGGAAGUAUAGUCGCAAGGCUGAAACU
RNAcentral lists this ribosomal RNA (512 nucleotides) under uncultured archaeon. RNAcentral describes it as "bacterial SSU rRNA". It matches the Rfam family "Archaeal small subunit ribosomal RNA", at positions 341 to 856 of the family's 1478-position model. The record is from RNAcentral.